Molecule: ribosomal RNA, 408 nt
Filed under: uncultured bacterium
Lineage: Bacteria
Description: partial 16S ribosomal RNA
Rfam family: Bacterial small subunit ribosomal RNA
Source: RNAcentral
GACGAACGCUGGCGGCGUGCUUAACACAUGCAAGUCGAACGAAGUGGCGAACGGGUGAGUAACGCGUAAUCACCCUGCCCUUAAGAGGGGGAAAACAGUUGGAAACGACUGCUACUACCCCAUACUGAAGGAGGGGAGUGCGUCCGAUCAGCUCGUUGGAGGGGUAACGGCCCCCCAAGGCGAUGAUCAGUAGCCGGUCUGCGAGGAUGAACGGCCCCAUUUGGCCUGAGGCACGGCCCCGACUCCUUCGGGAUGCAGCCGUGGGGACUCUUCCGCAAUUGACGAAAGUCUGACGGUGCAACGCCGCGGGCGUUGUGACAGCCUUCGGGUUGGUAAGCUCUGUUAAUCGGGACGCGGUACCGGAAUAGAAAGCCACGGCUAACUACGUGCCAGCAGCCGCGGUAAUUC